CCCUUAGAUGUUCUGGGCCGCACGCGCGCUACACUGACUGCUCCAACAAGUUACCUGGGCUGACAAGCAUCCGGGAAAUCUUGCAAAGGCAGUCGUGAUGGGGAUAGAUUCUUGUAAUUUUUGAUCUUCAACGAGGAAUUCCGAGUAAACGCAAGUCAUCAGCUUGCAUUGAUUACGUCCCUGCCCUUUGUACACACCGCCCGUCGCAUCUACCGAUUGAAUGGAGAGGCAAAAUCUUCGGACCGUGACGCUUGGGAGUCAAAUCUCGGGCUGUCGUGGGAAGUGGAUUAAACCUUUCUAUUUAGAGGAAGGUAAAGUCGUAACA
This 325-nucleotide ribosomal RNA is filed under the name uncultured eukaryote. RNAcentral's name for it is "partial 18S ribosomal RNA". It matches the Rfam family "Eukaryotic small subunit ribosomal RNA", at positions 1470 to 1796 of the family's 1831-position model. The record is from RNAcentral.